UACGUAGGGUGCGAGCGUUAAUCGGAAUUACUGGGCGUAAAGCGUGCGCAGGCGGUGAUGUAAGACAGAUGUGAAAUCCCCGGGCUCAACCUGGGAACUGCAUUUGUGACUGCAUCGCUGGAGUGCGGCAGAGGGGGAUGGAAUUCCGCGUGUAGCAGUGAAAUGCGUAGAUAUGCGGAGGAACACCGAUGGCGAAGGCAAUCCCCUGGGCCUGCACUGACGCUCAUGCACGAAAGCGUGGGGGAGCGAACAGG
This 254-nucleotide ribosomal RNA is filed under the name uncultured bacterium. RNAcentral's name for it is "partial 16S ribosomal RNA". It matches the Rfam family "Bacterial small subunit ribosomal RNA", at positions 524 to 776 of the family's 1533-position model. The record is from RNAcentral.